UUAAAAGAAUCUGGAAGAAUAAAUGGGUCCUAAGUAAAUGAGUCUUCACUCUCAGUCAAAAUCUCCAACAGGAACUCCUGCUUGUGUAAAAUUGGAGAGAUGGUCAGGAUCUCGUAGUCCUUCAAGGGUUUUCAAACACUCUGAAUCCCAUUCUCGAUCAAGAUCAAAAUGUCAAGGAGGCAUUCUCAUCGACGUUACACACUUGAUCCAGAUCCCACUCUUGAUCCAGAUACCACUCUCACAGGAGACGAAGUAGCUCAUAUACACCAGAAUACUGGCAGUGAAGGAGCCGAAGUCAUUCUCCAAUGUCUAACCAGAGAAGACACACUGGCAGAAGGGCAAAUCCAGAUCCCAACACUUGCCUUAGAGUGUUUGGCCUUAGUUUGUACACAACAGACAGAGAUCUUCGUGAAGUAUGUUCUUGAUAUGGACCUUUGAAUGGUGCCAAUGUGGUUUACAACCAGCAAACUGGGCGAUCUCAAGGAUUUGCUUUUGUGCAUUUUUAGGGAAUAGAUGACUCAAAGGAGGCUAUGGUAAGGGCAAACAGAAAGGAGCUGGAUGAUAGAAGAAAUUCGGGUGGAUUAUUCUAUUACCAAGACAAUGCGCACACCUAUACCAGGCAUCUAUAUGGGCAGAACUCAUAGUGGUGGUGGCGGAGGUGGUGGCAAAGGCGGCAGUGGAGGUGGUCACAGACGUCGAGAUUCUUACUAUGAUAGAGGAUAUCAUCGUGGAUAUGACAGAUAUGAAGACUAUGAUUACCGGUACAGAAGAUGAUCACCUUCUCCUUAUUAUAGUCGAUACAGAUCACAAUCAAGAUCUCAUUCCUGCAGCCCAAGACACU
Molecule: long non-coding RNA, 841 nt
Filed under: Homo sapiens (human)
Lineage: Eukaryota; Metazoa; Chordata; Mammalia; Primates; Hominidae
Description: non-protein coding lnc-TXNDC12-3:1
Source: RNAcentral